UCUACGGGUGGCUGCAGUGGGGGAUAUUGCACAAUGGGGGGAACCCUGAUGCAGCGACGCCGCGUGGGUGAAGAAGCGCCUCGGCGCGUAAAGCCCUGUCAGCAGGGAAGAAAAUGACGGUACCUGAAGAAGAAGCCCCGGCUAACUACGUGCCAGCAGCCGCGGUCAUACGUGGGGGGCAAGCGUUAUCCGGAUUUACUGGGUGGAAAGGGGGCGCAGACGGCGAUGCAAGCCAGGAGUGAAAGCCCGGGGCCCACCCCCGGGACUGCUCUUGGAACUGGGUGGCUGGAGUGCAGGGGGGGCAGGCGGAAUUGCUGGGGUAGCGGUGGAAUGCGUAGAUAUCAGGAGGAACACCGGUGGCGAAGG
Molecule: ribosomal RNA, 366 nt
Filed under: uncultured bacterium
Lineage: Bacteria
Description: partial 16S ribosomal RNA
Rfam family: Bacterial small subunit ribosomal RNA
Source: RNAcentral